RNAcentral lists this ribosomal RNA (979 nucleotides) under Bacillus velezensis. RNAcentral's name for it is "bacterial SSU rRNA". It matches the Rfam family "Bacterial small subunit ribosomal RNA", at positions 503 to 1492 of the family's 1533-position model. Lineage: Bacteria; Bacillati; Bacillota; Bacilli; Caryophanales; Bacillaceae. The record is from RNAcentral.
ACGUCCAGCAGCGCGGUAAACGUAGGGGCAAGCGUGUCCGGAAUUAUGGGCGUAAGGGCUCGCAGGCGGUUUCUUAAGUCUGAUGUAAAGCCCCCGGCUCAACCGGGGAGGGUCAUUGGAAACUGGGGAACUUGAGUGCAGAAGAGGAGAGUGGAAUUCCACGUGUAGCGGUGAAAUGCGUAGAGAUGUGGAGGAACACCAGUGGCGAAGGCGACUCUCUGGUCUGUAACUGACGCUGAGGAGCGAAAGCGUGGGGAGCGAACAGGAUUAGAUACCCUGGUAGUCCACGCCGUAAACGAUGAGUGCUAAGUGUUAGGGGGUUUCCGCCCCUUAGUGCUGCAGCUAACGCAUUAAGCACUCCGCCUGGGGAGUACGGUCGCAAGACUGAAACUCAAAGGAAUUGACGGGGGCCCGCACAAGCGGUGGAGCAUGUGGUUUAAUUCGAAGCAACGCGAAGAACCUUACCAGGUCUUGACAUCCUCUGACAAUCCUAGAGAUAGGACGUCCCCUUCGGGGGCAGAGUGACAGGUGGUGCAUGGUUGUCGUCAGCUCGUGUCGUGAGAUGUUGGGUUAAGUCCCGCAACGAGCGCAACCCUUGAUCUUAGUUGCCAGCAUUCAGUUGGGCACUCUAAGGUGACUGCCGGUGACAAACCGGAGGAAGGUGGGGAUGACGUCAAAUCAUCAUGCCCCUUAUGACCUGGGCUACACACGUGCUACAAUGGACAGAACAAAGGGCAGCGAAACCGCGAGGUUAAGCCAAUCCCACAAAUCUGUUCUCAGUUCGGAUCGCAGUCUGCAACUCGACUGCGUGAAGCUGGAAUCGGUAGUAAUCGCGGAUCAGCAUGCCGCGGUGAAUACGUUACCGGGCCUUGCCGCACCGCCCGUCACUCCGCGAGAGUUCGUAACUCAUGAAGUCGGCGAGGUACCCCAUAGGACCAGCCCAGGAAGGUUGACAGAUGAUCGGGGGAAGUCGCUCAAC